UACAGAGGGGGCAAGCGUUAUUCACAUUGAUUAGGCGUAAAGGGUGCGUAGGCGGGCUUCUGACAUUACUGGUGAAAUCUCAAGUAAAACUUGAAACUGCUUUUAAUAAACAGGAGCCUUGUGUCCUGGCGAGGUCGGUAGAAUUGCCAAAGGAGGGGUAGAAUCCUAGGAUAGUGGCAGGAAUUCCAAAGGCGAAGGCGGCCGACUAAUCAGUACAGACGUUGAGGCACGAAGGUCUGGGUAUCGAACAGG
This 252-nucleotide ribosomal RNA is filed under the name uncultured bacterium. RNAcentral describes it as "partial 16S ribosomal RNA". It matches the Rfam family "Bacterial small subunit ribosomal RNA", at positions 524 to 776 of the family's 1533-position model. The record is from RNAcentral.